This 364-nucleotide long non-coding RNA is filed under the name Eucalyptus grandis. RNAcentral's name for it is "long non-coding RNA (EGRA_LNC003514)". Lineage: Eukaryota; Viridiplantae; Streptophyta; Magnoliopsida; Myrtales; Myrtaceae. The record is from RNAcentral.
UCAACCUCACUCGCGACCGCCUCGCUCGAAGCCCCACCGGACGCUGAGCCGACGCCCUUGCAGUAACCCGCGAAGCUGCUUCUGCCUCGACGUGUUUCUGCCGCCCAAUCCACCUGCCUUGCCUCGCCAGCGACUCCUCACCGGACCGGCCACCACGUGCUGCCUUGCUCAGAAGAAAAGGAAAAACAACAGAAAAAGCAAAAUCAAUUAGGUUGUUUUUUUUUAUUUUUUUUCAUUUAUUUUACUUUAUUUUGUUUAUAUUCUUAAGUUAUUUACUUAAUUGGAUCCCAAUGUUCACUUUGUGAGUCUUGUAGGCAUUAUCCGCAAGAGUUAUCCCUAAGCUUAUUGUAAUUAUUAAUUUGAC